UCUUUUUUAGUUAUCCUAAACCUAAACUCAUUUGUCCUUCUUCCACGACUAGAGAAUGAGUAGGGUACCUUUGUCGGAGUAGAAGAAAACCAUAUGUUCUUCGGAUUGCUUUGAUUUGUCUAACUAAGGGGAGAGUUCAAGGUUAGAUGAUGACCGAGCAAAGAAGAGGUUAGCAGGGAAGAUAUUGAUCUGGAAAACGGUAGUAGUUGCUAAUUCAUCCAUUGAUGCAACUUCGAGAAAAUUACUGGUGUAGAUAAAUACAAAAGGUCUGAUUUUCAUCGAAGAUUCUAAUCUUGUACGCCUCCGAUCUUUUUUUUCCUGCACUAGAUGUAUACGGCGAAAUUGUAGGGUCCAAUUUCUCGUCAUCGAUGCACCUCAAAAUCAUGUCUCGAAGGCUCAAGACUACGUCCUAGCUUGGGUCAUUAACGUUCGACCUCGGGGCAGUGCAGAACAACGGUUAUGGUGAAAGUCGGUAGUUCCCAAGGCGUGCAGCUAGAGCCGACAAAGUCUGCCAGGCUAGUCCAAACGUGAAUCGGGGCAUCAACUAGCUGUCCCAUCUUCAUAUUUUUGUAAUUAAUAUAUUUUAUACUAUGUUGGGAUGCCCCCUCAUAUAUAAAGGGAAUCCUUGCCAUUUUGUGAACAUUUGUUGCUCCAUACUAAAUACUCAAGAACAUUUUCUCUACUAUCUUAC
RNAcentral lists this long non-coding RNA (691 nucleotides) under Nicotiana benthamiana. Its description in RNAcentral is "long non-coding RNA (NBEN_LNC006316)". The record is from RNAcentral. Lineage: Eukaryota; Viridiplantae; Streptophyta; Magnoliopsida; Solanales; Solanaceae.